This 440-nucleotide ribosomal RNA is filed under the name uncultured bacterium. Its description in RNAcentral is "bacterial SSU rRNA". It matches the Rfam family "Bacterial small subunit ribosomal RNA", at positions 338 to 794 of the family's 1533-position model. The record is from RNAcentral.
CCUACGGGGGGCAGCAGUGAGGAAUAUUGCCCAAUGGGGGAAACCCUGAGGCAGCGACGCCGCGUGGGUGAUGAAGGCCUUCGGGUCGUAAAACCCUUUUGCAGGUGACGAGGAAGGACGGUAGCCUGCGAAGAAGUCUCGGCUAACUACGUGCCAGCAGCCGCGGUAAAACGUAGGAGGCAAGCGUUAUCCGGAGUUACUGGGCGUAAAGCGCAUGUAGGCGGUUGUUCAAGUGGCGUGUGAAAGCGCCCGGCUAAACUGGGCGAGGACACGUCAGACUGGACGGCUAGAGGGGGCUAGAGGGGCGCAGAAUUCGGGGUGUAGCGGUGAAAUGUGUAGAGAUCCCGAGGAAUACCAGUGGAGAAGUCGGCGCCCUGGGGCCUUACUGACGCUGAGAUGCGAAAGCGUGGGGAGCGAACGGGAUUAGAUACCCUUGUAGU